GAUGAACGCUGACAGAAUGCUUAACACAUGCAAGUCUUUGGCAAAUCUGUGCUUGCACAGCAUAGCCAAGGCGGACGGGUGAGUAACGCGUAAAGAACUUGCCCUGCAGUCUGGGAUAACAGACGGAAACGACUGAUAAAACCUGAUAUAAUCAAGCCCACGCAUGUGGUGCUUGAUGAAAAGAAAUGCUGCAGGAGAGCUUUGCGUCCUAUUAGCUUGUUGGUGGGGUAAUGGCCCACCAAGGCAAUGAUAGGUAGCCGGCCUGAGAGGGUGACCGGCCACAAGGGGACUGAGAUACGGCCCUUACUCCUACGGGAGGCAGCAGUGGGGAAUAUUGGACAAUGGGGGCAACCCUGAUCCAGCAAUUCUGUGUGCACGAGGAAGGUUUUCGGAUUGUAAAGUGCUUUCAGCAGGGAAGAAGAAAAUGACUGACCUGCAGAGGAAGCGAC
RNAcentral lists this ribosomal RNA (449 nucleotides) under Leptotrichia sp. oral taxon 463. RNAcentral describes it as "bacterial SSU rRNA". It matches the Rfam family "Bacterial small subunit ribosomal RNA", at positions 28 to 494 of the family's 1533-position model. The record is from RNAcentral. Lineage: Bacteria; Fusobacteriati; Fusobacteriota; Fusobacteriia; Fusobacteriales; Leptotrichiaceae.